UAGGGAAUCUUCGGCAAUGGACGAAAGUCUGACCGAGCAACGCCACGUGAGUGAAGAAGGUUUUCGGAUCGUAAAACUCUGUUGGUAGAGAAGAACGUUGGUGAGAGUGGAAAGCUCAUCAAGUGACGGUAACUACCCAGAAAGGGACGGCUAACUACGUGCCAA
RNAcentral lists this ribosomal RNA (165 nucleotides) under uncultured bacterium. RNAcentral describes it as "partial 16S rRNA". It matches the Rfam family "Bacterial small subunit ribosomal RNA", at positions 355 to 511 of the family's 1533-position model. The record is from RNAcentral.